AGAGUUUGAUCCUGGCUCAGAAUCAACGCUGGCGGCGUGCCUAACACAUGCAAGUCGAACGAGAAAGUGGAGCAAUCCAUGAGUAAAGUGGCGCACGGGUGAGUAACACGUGACUAACCUACCCUUGAGUGGGGGAUAACCUCGGGAAACCGGGGCUAAUACCGCAUAAUACCUACGGGUCAAAGGAGCAAUUCGCUUUAGGAGGGGGUCGCGGCAGAUUAGUUAGUUGGCGGGGUAAUGGCCCACCAAGACGGUGAUCUGUAUCCGGCCUGAGAGGGCGCACGGACACACUGGAACUGAAACACGGUCCAGACUCCUACGGGAGGCAGCAGUGGGGAAUUUUGCGCAAUGGGGGAAACCCUGACGCAGCAACGCCGCGUGGAGGAUGAAGUCCCUUGGGACGUAAACUCCUUUCGAUCGGGACGAUUAUGACGGUACCGGAAGAAGAAGCCCCGGCUAACUUCGUGCCAGCAGCCGCGGUAAUACGAGGGGGGCGAGCGUUGUUCGGAAUUAUUGGGCGUAAAGGGCGCGUAGGCGGUCGGAUAAGUCUUGUGUGAAAUCUUCGGGCUCAACUCGAAGUCUGCACAGGAAACUAUCCGGCUUGAGUGUGGGAGAGGUGAGUGGAAUUCCUGGUGUAGCGGUGAAAUGCGUAGAUAUCAGGAGGAACACCUGUGGCGAAAGCGGCUCACUGGACCACAACUGACGCUGAGGCGCGAAAGCUAGGGGAGCAAACAGGAUUAGAUACCCCCGUAGUCC
Molecule: ribosomal RNA, 756 nt
Filed under: uncultured bacterium
Lineage: Bacteria
Description: bacterial SSU rRNA
Rfam family: Bacterial small subunit ribosomal RNA
Source: RNAcentral